RNAcentral lists this ribosomal RNA (497 nucleotides) under uncultured bacterium. RNAcentral's name for it is "partial 16S ribosomal RNA". It matches the Rfam family "Bacterial small subunit ribosomal RNA", at positions 28 to 507 of the family's 1533-position model. The record is from RNAcentral.
GAUGGACGCUGGCGGCGUGCCUAAUACAUGCAAGUCGAGCGAACAGACGAGGAGCUUGCUCCUCUGACGUUAGCGGCGGACGGGUGAGUAACACGUGGAUAACCUACCUAUAAGACUGGGAUAACUUCGGGAAACCGGAGCUAAUACCGGAUAACAUGUUGAACCGCAUGGUUCAACAGUGAAAGACGGUCUUGCUGUCACUUAUAGAUGGAUCCGCGCCGCAUUAGCUAGUUGGUAAGGUAACGGCUUACCAAGGCAACGAUGCGUAGCCGACCUGAGAGGGUGAUCGGCCACACUGGAACUGAGACACGGUCCAGACUCCUACGGGAGGCAGCAGUAGGGAAUCUUCCGCAAUGGGCGAAAGCCUGACGGAGCAACGCCGCGUGAGUGAAGAAGGUCUUCGGAUCGUAAAACUCUGUUAUUAGGGAAGAACAAAUGUGUAAGUAACUAUGCACGUCUUGACGGUACCUAAUCAGAAAGCCACGGCUAACUACGUG